RNAcentral lists this ribosomal RNA (466 nucleotides) under uncultured bacterium. RNAcentral's name for it is "bacterial SSU rRNA". It matches the Rfam family "Bacterial small subunit ribosomal RNA", at positions 30 to 490 of the family's 1533-position model. The record is from RNAcentral.
AUUGAACGCUGGCGGCAUGCCUUACACAUGCAAGUCGAACGGCAGCACGGGAGCAAUCCUGGUGGCGAGUGGCGAACGGGUGAGUAAUAUAUCGGAACGUGCCCAGUCGUGGGGAUAACGUAGCGAAAGCUACGCUAAUACCGCAUACGAUCUAUGGAUGAAAGCGGGGGAUCGCAAGACCUCGCGCGAUUGGAGCGGCCGAUAUCAGAUUAGGUAGUUGGUGAGGUAAAGGCUCACCAAGCCGACGAUCUGUAGCUGGUCUGAGAGGACGACCAGCCACACUGGGACUGAGACACGGCCCAGACUCCUACGGGAGGCAGCAGUGGGGAAUUUUUGGACAAUGGGCGCAAGCCUGAUCCAGCAAUGCCGCGUGCAGGAUGAAGGCCUUGGGUUGUAACUGCUUUUGUUACGGAACGAAACGGUGAGCUCUAAUACAGUUUGCUAAUGACGGUACCGUAAGAAUAAG